UCUGCUGGAGGGGCGCCGGAGAUUAUUGGGGGGGGGCAGAGCCCCCCAAACGAAUUUUUGAGGGGGCUCGGGCCCCCUCAAGCCCCAUGGAGUCAGCGCCUAUGCACAUGAUGCCAUCCCUGAGGAUGAGGGAAGUUCAGCAAGCCAGGAACAGGAAAGAGGUUUUUACCUGAUAUCUUACCGAGUUACCUAAGGAAAGGAAAAACGGGGAGAGUUGCACGAUUUAACAAGGCAAUGGCAAGAAAGAUGACUUUACACACUUCUUCAUACAGAAUCGAUUAAAGAAUCAAAGCAGAAUCACCAUCCUUUUAAGAAGGGUUGACAUGAAAUAAUGACAGCUGAACAGUUGACAUUUUGAUUUUAUUACAGGUUAUUUAUUCCCCUUAAUGAACUACUUCUACCUCGGUGAAAGAUACUUGCCUGCGCAAAACCUUACCUGAAAUGGGGUAAAAGGGAGAAAUUAACAUAAAAAAGAC
This is a non-coding RNA of Podarcis muralis (Common wall lizard), 476 nucleotides long. NCBI's taxonomy places the organism in Eukaryota, Metazoa, Chordata, Lepidosauria, Squamata, Lacertidae. The record is from RefSeq and is a predicted model, not a curated record.